GCCUGGGUGGCUCAGUCGGUUGAGCGUCUUGAUUUCGACUCAGGUCAUGAUCUCGCAGUCUGUGAGUUCGAGCCCCACGUCAGGCU
RNAcentral lists this transfer RNA (86 nucleotides) under Felis catus (domestic cat). It matches the Rfam family "tRNA". From Rfam's summary of the family: Transfer RNA (tRNA) molecules are approximately 80 nucleotides in length. Their secondary structure includes four short double-helical elements and three loops (D, anti-codon, and T loops). Further hydrogen bonds mediate the characteristic L-shaped molecular structure. tRNAs have two regions of fundamental functional importance: the anti-codon, which is responsible for specific mRNA codon recognition, and the 3' end, to which the tRNAs corresponding amino acid is attached (by aminoacyl-tRNA synthetases). tRNAs cope with the degeneracy of the genetic code in two manners: having more than one tRNA (with a specific anti-codon) for a particular amino acid; and 'wobble' base-pairing, i.e. permitting non-standard base-pairing at the 3rd anti-codon position. The record is from Rfam by way of RNAcentral. RNAcentral also lists the same sequence under 2 other names. Lineage: Eukaryota; Metazoa; Chordata; Mammalia; Carnivora; Felidae.